AGUAACGGCGAGUGAAGCGGCAACAGCUCAAAUUUGAAAUCUGGCUCCCCUGGGGGCCCGAGUUGUAAUUUGUAGAGGAUGCUUCGGCGUGGGCCCCGGUCUAAGUUCCUUGGAACAGGACGUCACAGAGGGUGAGAAUCCCGUACGUGGCCGUGGGUGCUCGCCAUGUGAAGCUCCUUCGACGAGUCGAGUUGUUUGGGAAUGCAGCUCUAAAUGGGAGGUAAAUUUCUUCUAAAGCUAAAUACUGGCCAGAGACCGAUAGCGCACAAGUAGAGUGAUCGAAAGAUGAAAAGCACUUUGGAAAGAGAGUCAAAAAGUACGUGAAAUUGUUGAAAGGGAAGCGCUUGCAACCAGACCUGCCUGCGGUUGCUCAUCCGGGCUCCUGCCCGGUGCACUCUUCCGCAGUCAGGCCAGCAUCAGCUCUGGCGGUCGGAUAAAGGCGGCGGGAAUGUGGCUCCCCUCGGGGAGUGUUAUAGCCCGCCGUGCAAUGCGGCCAGCCGGGACUGAGGUCCGCGCUUCGGCUAGGAUGCUGGCGUAAUGGUUGUAAGCGGCCCGUCUUGAAACACGGACCAAGGAGUCUAACAUCUGUGCGAGUGUUUGGGUGUCAAGCCCAGGCGCGUAAUGAAAGUGAACGGAGGCGGGAACCUUCGGGUGCACCGUCGACCGAUCCUGAUGUCUUCGGAUGGAUUUGAGUAAGAGCAUAGCUGUUGGGACCCGAAAGAUGGUGAACUAUGCCUGAAUAGGGUGAAGCCAGAGGAAACUCUGGUGGAGGCUCGCAGCGGUUCUGACGUGCAAAUCGAUCGUCAAAUUUGGGCAUAGGGGGCGAAAGACUAAUCGAACUAUCUAGU
Molecule: ribosomal RNA, 848 nt
Filed under: Rhytidhysteron neorufulum
Lineage: Eukaryota; Fungi; Ascomycota; Dothideomycetes; Hysteriales; Hysteriaceae
Description: partial large subunit ribosomal RNA
Rfam family: Eukaryotic large subunit ribosomal RNA
Source: RNAcentral